RNAcentral lists this ribosomal RNA (210 nucleotides) under uncultured bacterium. RNAcentral describes it as "partial 16S ribosomal RNA". It matches the Rfam family "Bacterial small subunit ribosomal RNA", at positions 29 to 229 of the family's 1533-position model. The record is from RNAcentral.
AACGAACGCUGGCGGCGCGCCUAAUACAUGCAAGUCGAACGAGAAGCUGUAGCAAUACAGUUGUACAGUGGCGAACGGGUGAGGAAUACAUGGGUGACCUACCCUCGAGUGGGGAAUAACCAGCCGAAAGGUUGGCUAAUACCGCGUACGCUUCCCAGUCUACGGGUUGGGAAGGAAAGCGAUGCCGUGGGUAUCGCGCUCAAGGUUGGG